This is a non-coding RNA of Schizosaccharomyces pombe (fission yeast), 704 nucleotides long. The record is from the annotation of a GenBank genome assembly. Lineage: Eukaryota; Fungi; Ascomycota; Schizosaccharomycetes; Schizosaccharomycetales; Schizosaccharomycetaceae.
UAAAAAAUCAUUAUCAUCAUUAUAAAACAGUUUCUCGUGUAUUAGGGUAUAUUUUUAGAAAGUUUGUGAAAUGAUGAAGCUUUAGAUCAUAAUAAAGCCAUACUUGGAUGAUUUUCUGUUUUCCUAAAAGGAAGGGGUUUAAGAAGAUCCCUUUUGUUUCUCGAGCUGCUUGGCAGAAGUAUAUGCUCUUUGGCGUUCCCAUAGGACAAAUUUGAUAGCUGCCAUGGUUUUAUUGACUGCAAGUACACGCUCAUUUGAGGCUUUGGGAAUAGUCAACUGUAAGCGUUUCAUUUCAGCCCUUUGUGUGAACAAUAGGUUCUUCUCUCGGAGACAAUUGUACCAAAGUCCAUGUAGAUCAUUAAAAGACUUCCAACGAAGCUCUUCUGCAGCCCAUGCUCUACCGAAUUUAGCCUCUUCCGAUGGUGGUGGAAGGGCUUGCUUGUCCCGAAAGAAAUUCCACAAAGGGUGCGUGUCUGAAACCUUAGGAGCACUUUUUACUUUUGGAACAGGAAAUACAAAGCCCUUUGGAAUACGUACGGCUGCUUUCUGAGCGCUAGCCAACGUGGACCUCAUCUUUGGUGGUAAGUAGAAGGUGCGCUGUAACACCCUGACAUUGACCGAUAAUAAUGGUUGUAAGUCAUACUUUAAAAAUAAUUAUUUUUUAUUAUACUUCAUUGACUUUCUUAAUUAUUGCUAAAUUGAGA